RNAcentral lists this ribosomal RNA (251 nucleotides) under uncultured bacterium. Its description in RNAcentral is "partial 16S ribosomal RNA". It matches the Rfam family "Bacterial small subunit ribosomal RNA", at positions 524 to 776 of the family's 1533-position model. The record is from RNAcentral.
UACGGGGGGGGCAAGCGUUGUUCGGAAUUACUGGGCGUAAAGGGCACGUAGGCGGUGAAUCGGGUUGAAAGUGAAAGUCGCCAAAAAGUGGCGGAAUGCUCUCGAAACCAAUUCACUUGAGUGAGACAGAGGAGAGUGGAAUUUCGUGUGUAGGGGUGAAAUCCGUAGAUCUACGAAGGAACGCCAAAAGCGAAGGCAGCUCUCUGGGUCCCUACCGACGCUGGGGUGCGAAAGCGUGGGGAGCAAACAGG